Molecule: long non-coding RNA, 3011 nt
Organism: Chinchilla lanigera (long-tailed chinchilla)
Lineage: Eukaryota; Metazoa; Chordata; Mammalia; Rodentia; Chinchillidae
Source: Ensembl
AAAAAAAAAAAAAAAAAAAAAAAAAAAAGCCAUGCAGAAAUAACUGAUGCAGUUUAGAUACUUUAAAAGCAAAGCCUUAUCUAAAAAAGCGUCUGUUAUUGCAUCUAAAGUAGUUAAACUCAUUAAAGAAAUGUGCUAUAUCAGAGGUCCUCCUUCCUGUGCAGGCCAAUGGUGUCAACAGGGGGUGUGGCAGAACGAAUAAAAACACAGACAAGUUAGUGUGGGAUGAUGGUCUCAAUGUGUGUGAUACUCAGAAGAACCUGGCCUAGUUCUUCUCCGCCCAUAUUCUGUGAUCAGUCCUGCUGCAGAGGCAGCCAGGUACAACCCUACUACCUGCCGGUCUCUCCCGCAUAACCGAAGGAGCCAAGGUCCUGGACCAGACAAGAUGAUAAGGGUGGCACGCUGCACAAAGAAACAGCUGCCUUUUGUGUGUCCUUGCGCGAAGACCGGCUUCCCAGGACUGUAAAUGCUUUAUCUGCGUAGCACUUCAUCUAAACAAUUCAGCAGGUAGGAGGUUCGGGUCCCCGUCUAUUUAAACGCAAACAAGGCGGCUGAGAAGCCAGAGGAGCCAGGCCGUUCAGACUCCACGGUGUGAGCGUGCGGCCACCGAGUUUAGCAACCAGGCUGAGACCCUGAGAGCGGCUGAACAGGCAGCCCUUGCUGCGCACCUGGAAGUUCGCGGCCUUUCUCACGGGAAACGCCGCGGUUACGGGGGCUGAUGGAUGGGGGCCCGUCCUCAGGCGCGUCCAAAACGAUACCUCGGGCCAGUACUUCUGCAGCUGUCGCCCUCUUCCUCACAUCCCACGACUCCGCAAAGCCGUCCCGCCUGGCGCGAGGCCCGCGUUCCAGCGGCCCAGGACCACGGCACCGUCUCGCGCCGCCCGCUGCCGCCGCCACCACAUUCGAAAUUCUUCGCCGCGCUCACCCAUUGGCUGGUUGGCGGCGGUCACGUGACGCGACGUCGCCCCACAAGUAACGUCACAGCGUCCCGCCAACGGGCGAGGACUAGUGACGCAGCGACGGGCCCCACCCCUUUGUCCCGGGUAGAGCCCGCGUCUGGAGGGUGUUUCUUGCUCAGAGUCGUCAGAUUGAAGGGCGGAGUUGCUCCGAAAGUUUUGAGUGGCAGACGCUGAGUUUUUCUUUGCCAUACAACUACUGAAUGAAGAUGUGAACUGUGAGGAGGUGAGCUUUACCUUUAUGGUACUUCGCAUCAGGGCAAGAGAAGGGGCUAACAGGUGAGAAAAAGGUAAAUGCUAAAAGACAUUAGAGAACUAGAGUGCGAUUUCUAGAACAGUCAAGACAUGCCUUACACUGGAAAAACCCAUUUUUAAAAGCUAUCCCCUGCAGUGCUAUUAGCAUAGUUAGUUACGUAUUAAAUGUAUCAGUUUCACAUGGAACUUUAAACAAGAGGAACCUCUAAAAACAAAGAGGCAUAGGCCUUAUCCUGCUUCAGUGAGCUAGGGCCUUUCUUUCUCUUGAUUACUUCUCCAGGUGAUUCUGACGUAUGCCAAACUUUAUAUCCACAUAAAUCACAUCGGAGAAUCUUGUUAAAAUGCAAAUUCUGAUUGAGUAGAUCUAAGGAUGGGUGAGCCUGAGAUUCUGUAUUUCUAACAAGCUCUCAGAGAUUGCUGAUUGUUGUUGGUCUAUAGAAGGGCAAAAUUGUAAGGCAGUGAUUCUUACACUUGCUGAGCAUUGGAAUAACCUUGGGACCUCAGCAACUACUCUCUGGUUCACAGGAAUCUUGACUGAAUAGUGCUAUAGUUUGAAUCUAGAAUGAUCCUCAAAAGCUCACAUUACAGGCUUGGUCCUUGGCUUGGUGAAAACUUUAAGAGGUGGGGCAUAAAAUAAAAAACAAAAACAACAAAAAAAAAGAAAUGGGGGCUGGGGAUUUAGCUCAGGGGCACAGCGCCUGUCUGGCAAGCGCAAGGUCAUGAAUUCGAUUCCCGGUACAGAAAAAAACAAAAAUAAAAAAACACAAAACAAAACAAAAAAAGAGGUGGGGCAUAGUAGAAGGAAGUUUGGUUAGGGAGGGCAGGUUCUUGAAGGGAAUAUUGUUCCCUUUCUUUCUCUCUUUGCUUCCUGGGUAACAUGAUGUGAACAUAUCUCCUCUGCCAGGGCCUCCCACAUCAUAAAGUACUGUGUUGCCUCCAUAGACGAAAGCAACAAGACCAAGCAACAUGAACUGAAACCUCUGUAUCUUUGAGGCAAAAAUCUUCUUUUUAAAUUGAUUUUCUCAGGUAUUUUGUCACAGUAAUAAAAAGCUGGUUAAUACAAGUAGAUACGAUGGAAUAAAGCUUAGGCAUAUGGAAUUUAAUGUACUUCUCAGAAGCACGAUGUAAGUGAUCAUUUUGAGAACAUUUAGUCUGCUUUUGCUAAUCAUCCUCUUGGCUAUAAGCACAAGUUCUAAACCCUUUUCUUCUAUAUUCCUGUCUCCAUCUGGAAACAGAUUUAUUCCAUUUCAGAGUUGUAGAAAUGGUGCUCAUUGUACUAAAAGCCUUAGCAUGAAAUUCCUAAGAAACAAAGAACAUUCUCUUUUACAGCCUUAGCACAGUUAACCAGGGCCAGAAAAUUUAACGUUGGUACAUUAUUUAAAUUGGUUUCUGUACUCCAGUUUCAGCAAGUGUUGCAAUAGUGUUUUUUAUGCCUAUAUUUUUUCUCUUAGUCCAGGAUUAAUUUGAGAAUUACUGUGCCGGUUCAUCCCUUGAGAUACAACAUGAAGUCUUCUUUGCUACUGUAAAGCAGAGGCAAGUUGGCUUCAUUCCUUUCCCUUUAGUUCAUUGUCUUUCAGCUUUUAAAAUACAGCUUUAUUUGUAUUGCCAUGCCCAUUUACCAGCAGGACUUUUACACAUAAAGAAGCCACAAGUAAAUAUGCUUUAAUCUACAUUCCAGCCUACAUUUACCAAUGUAAUAAUUGUUUUAGAUUGUAGAUAUAACACUUCAGCCAGGACUUUUCGAAUAACUCAUCUUAUAAAAAGCAAUUCACUGAACACCAAAAAUGUGAUACAUAAAAG